Molecule: ribosomal RNA, 226 nt
Filed under: Sciomesa sp. SCKEG4000
Lineage: Eukaryota; Metazoa; Arthropoda; Insecta; Lepidoptera; Noctuidae
Description: partial 12S small subunit ribosomal RNA
Source: RNAcentral
AAUUUAUAAUUUUGUAUAUCGUUGUUAUAAAAAUAUUUUUUAAUAAGAUUAAUAUUUGAGAAUUAAAAUAUAAAUUUAAAUCAGAUCAAGAUGCAGUUUAUAAUUAAGAAUAUAAUGGAUUACAAUAAAUUUAUUUAAAUGGAUUUUAAUUUUUAAUAGUUAAUUGAAGGUGGAUUUAAAUGUAAUUUUAUUUAAUUUAUUAAAAUGAUUAAAAAUUAAAAUAUGU